This 659-nucleotide long non-coding RNA is filed under the name Homo sapiens (human). Its description in RNAcentral is "novel transcript". The record is from RNAcentral. Lineage: Eukaryota; Metazoa; Chordata; Mammalia; Primates; Hominidae.
GGGUAGUAGAACAAUGGGAUUAUGCUGUCACAAAAACCAAAGAAAAAACAUAAUUUCUUAAAUCAUGGUCUGUCACUGAAUCUGGUUAUAAAACCUUAUCUUGCACUAGAAGGAUCUGUAGCUUUUCCAGCUGAGAAUGGGGUUCAGGAUACCGAAUCAACACAAGAAAAGAGAGAAACUGGGGAUGAAGAAAACUCAGCUAAAUUUCCUGUAGGAAGGAGAGAUUUUGACAUAUUCUCAGACCACUUCUACCAAAACAUAAAUCUGUGAUUGUGAUCUCUGAAAGUCAGUCCUUUUAUCUACUCAAUUAUGACUCAAGGCUUUGAGAAUGUAAAGAGACCACCUUCACUUGUUGAGAAAUGGUACGAUUUCACGUUAUCAGUGCAGUUCCGUUCUCGGGGGAAAGCCCAUCCGUACUACCAGGAGACUGGAUCCGCAAAGUAGACACUUGGUCUCAUGAAGCCACUGCUGGGCUCCAGAGAGAAGGGAAAACUAAGAGGUUUUAAAACCCCUACCCUCCUUGGUUUACCUCCAUCAUUAAAAAACAACAAUGACAACGACAACAAAAAACAAAACUAAAACGACUUAUUAUUUAUUAAUUAUGUUGUGGCAGACAAUAUGCUGAACAUUAGACAUAAUUAAAUCUUUUUAAAAAUUGA